This 1862-nucleotide long non-coding RNA is filed under the name Homo sapiens (human). RNAcentral's name for it is "HSALNT0295458". The record is from RNAcentral. Lineage: Eukaryota; Metazoa; Chordata; Mammalia; Primates; Hominidae.
ACCGCCACGCCCAGCUAACUUUUUUGUAUUUCAGUAGACAUGGGCUUUCACCAUGUUGCCCAAGGUGGUUUCGAACUCCUGAGCUCAGGCAAUCUGCCCGUCUCAGCCUCCCAAAGUGCUGGGACUACAGGCGUGAGCCAUCACACCCGGCCUAGGGAAGCAUGUCUUUUUUUUUUUUUUUUUUUUUUUUUUUUUUUUUUUUUUUUUUUUUGAUACAGGGUCUCGCUCUGUCGCCCAGGCUGGAGUGCAGUGGCGCGAACUCGGCCCACUGCAAGCUCCGCCUCCGGGGUUCACGCCAUUUCCUGGCUCAGCCUCCCCAGUAGCUGGGACUACAGGCGCCCGCCACAACUCCCGGCUAAUUUUUUUUCUCUUUCUUUCUUUCUUUCUUUCUUUCUUUCUUACUUUCUUUCUUUCUUUCUUUCUUUUUAGUAGAUACGGGGUUUCACCGUGUUGGCCAGGAUGGUCUCGAUCUCCUGACCUCGUGAUCCGCCUGCCUCGGCCUCCCAAAGUGCUGGGAUUACAGGCGUGAGCCACCGCGCCCGGCGGUAAAUUCUUUUUAAAAAGCGUUUAUUCCGAUGGAUUUCCUGGCAUCCCGUGGGGCGGACAACGGGCUGAGGCCUCCAGUAAACCUUCUGCGCGAUGGAGCUGCGGGGGCUCAGCUGCGCUGUUUUUGGGUGGGUGCCUGGGGCACUAGGGCGGGAGCGGGGCACUGGGUGGGUCCAACGGGUAACUGCAAGGAGGAGAGCAAGGAAGUCGGCAGAGGCGGCGACCCUGGCGAGGAAACUUCCCAGUAGCUUUGUUCAGCGGUAAGGACCGGAUCCCUGAGAGACAAAAAUCAUCUUUUCUACUGUAGCAGAGUGGGGAGAACGCCAGGAAAAAUGGAGAGACACCAAGAAAGAAGGAAAAUCAUGGGGACCCUUAGGCCGAAGCAGCCCUAUAUUAAGUUUAAAGAAGAAAGCAGGCGGCUUCCUGUGAUGGUAUAUUGGUUAGUACUCUGCAUCGCGGCCAAGGGUGGAAUCCCAGUCAUGGCAGUGUCCCUCCUGGGGCGUGGCACUCCUCCUUUCCUUUAGACUCCAACCUCUGCCUAGGCUGCGCUUUUACCUGCGACUAGAGAGGUUACAACUUACCAGUGCCUUCGGAGCUCUGUGCAGUGGUGAGAAUAGAAGGAACCCCUACCUUGCAUGCUGGGGUCCAGUCAUCUUGAAAGGCUGGGCUUUUGCCCCCUCUCUGAGCAAGUGCAGCACCCAAAAGGUGAGGUGCUCCCUCUCAGUCAGCCUUAUUGGAAUCCUCCACUAUUACCACGAUGUGGCCAUAACCGUUUUUCUGGUUCAGAUAUUUCAAUCAUCCGUGGGGCCUUUUAAGGCCGAAUCAGAAACAAGCGAGAGGACAUGAGGAUAGUUUGCACUCCAACUGGGAAUUUUAAGUAAAGCCUAAAGAAUACAAUAAAAUCUAAACUUAAUGUCAUUCCCCAACACCCAAUUGUUAUUUGUUUUUAUUUAUUUAUUUGUUUAUGUAUUUUUGCUAUCAGUAAAUGACUGAAGUAUAAUCCACACAGACCAAAGUGUUCCAAUCUGAAGUGCACAGCCCAGUGCAUUUUGACGUAAGAAACCAUCACCCAGAUCAAGUUAUGGGACAUUUUCACCAGCCCAAAAAGUCAUCAGAGCCCCUUUCCAGUCAGUCCUCACCCCAUCCCCACUUAGGCAAUCACCAUUCUGAUUUCUAUCUCCAUGGGUUACUUUUGCUUCUUCUUGAAAUUCACGUAAAGGAAUAUACUGAUUCUGUUUCUUUUUUGAAUGCAACAAUGGUUUUGAGAUACAUUCAUUUUAUGGCAUGUAUCUCAACGUUUUGAUGUUAUUGAUGAA